Molecule: transfer RNA, 65 nt
Filed under: Dipodomys ordii (Ord's kangaroo rat)
Lineage: Eukaryota; Metazoa; Chordata; Mammalia; Rodentia; Heteromyidae
Rfam family: tRNA
About the family: Transfer RNA (tRNA) molecules are approximately 80 nucleotides in length. Their secondary structure includes four short double-helical elements and three loops (D, anti-codon, and T loops).
Source: Rfam by way of RNAcentral
GGUGGCUCAGGGGUAGAGCGCUUGCCUUGCAUGCAUGAGGCCCUGGGUUUGAUUCCGCAGCACCA